This is a small nuclear RNA of Erinaceus europaeus (western European hedgehog), 107 nucleotides long. The record is from Ensembl. Lineage: Eukaryota; Metazoa; Chordata; Mammalia; Eulipotyphla; Erinaceidae.
GAGGUCUAUUCAGCAACACACAUACUAAAAUUGGAAAGAUACAGAGAAGAUUAGCAUGGCCUCUGUGCAAGGAUGACACCCCAAUUUGUGAAGCAUUCCAAAGGUCU